This 385-nucleotide ribosomal RNA is filed under the name uncultured crenarchaeote. Its description in RNAcentral is "bacterial SSU rRNA". It matches the Rfam family "Archaeal small subunit ribosomal RNA", at positions 474 to 859 of the family's 1478-position model. The record is from RNAcentral. Lineage: Archaea; Thermoproteati; Thermoproteota.
UACCAGCACCCCGAGUGGUCGGGACGAUUAUUGGGCCUAAAGCAUCCGUAGCCGGUCCUGCAAGUCCUCCGUUAAAUCCACCCGCUCAACGGUUGGGCCGCGGGGGAUACUACAGGGCUAGGAGGCGGGAGAGGCAAGCGGUACUCGAUGGGUAGGGGUAAAAUCCACUGAUCCAUUGAAGACCACCAGUGGCGAAGGCGGCUUGCCAGAACGCGCUCGACGGUGAGGGAUGAAAGCUGGGGGAGCAAACCGGAUUAGAUACCCGGGUAGUCCCAGCUGUAAACGAUGCAGACUCGGUGAUGGGCUGGCUUCGUGCCAACCCGGUGCCGCAGGGAAGCCGUUAAGUCUACCGCCUGGGGAGUACGGUCGCAAGACUGAAACUUAA